GGCCUCGUAGCUCAGCUAUUAAAGCGUGCGCUGUACACAAGCGUAGGCGGUGUCCAUGCGUGGGUUCAAAUCCCACCGAGACUG
Molecule: transfer RNA, 84 nt
Filed under: Echinostoma caproni
Lineage: Eukaryota; Metazoa; Platyhelminthes; Trematoda; Plagiorchiida; Echinostomatidae
Rfam family: tRNA
About the family: Transfer RNA (tRNA) molecules are approximately 80 nucleotides in length.
Source: Rfam by way of RNAcentral